This 492-nucleotide ribosomal RNA is filed under the name uncultured bacterium. RNAcentral describes it as "partial 16S ribosomal RNA". It matches the Rfam family "Bacterial small subunit ribosomal RNA", at positions 29 to 507 of the family's 1533-position model. The record is from RNAcentral.
AGUGAACGCUGGCGGUAGGCCUAACACAUGCAAGUCGAACGGCAGCACAGUAAGAUCUUGCUCUUACGGGUGGCGAGUGGCGGACGGGUGAGGAAUACAUCGGAAUCUACUUUUUCGUGGGGGAUAACGUAGGGAAACUUACGCUAAUACCGCAUACGACCUACGGGUGAAAGCAGUGGAUCUUCUGACCUUGCGCGAUUGAAUGAGCCGAUUUCGGAUUAGCUAGUUGGCGGGGUAAAGGCCCACCAAGGCGACGAUCCGUAGCUGGUCUGAGAGGAUGAUCAGCCACACUGGAACUGAGACACGGUCCAGACUCCUACGGGAGGCAGCAGUGGGGAAUAUUGGACAAUGGGCGCAAGCCUGAUCCAGCCAUACCGCGUGGGUGAAGAAGGCCUUCGGGUUGUAAAGCCCUUUUGUUGGGAAAGAAAAGCAGCAGGUUAAUACCCCGCUGUUCUGACGGUACCCAAAGAAUAAGCACCGGCUAACUUCGUG